RNAcentral lists this ribosomal RNA (300 nucleotides) under Triticum aestivum (bread wheat). Its description in RNAcentral is "partial small subunit ribosomal RNA". The record is from RNAcentral. Lineage: Eukaryota; Viridiplantae; Streptophyta; Magnoliopsida; Poales; Poaceae.
AUGUGCCACCGAGCUCAUGCUGGUGGUGCCGGCUUUGGCCACGUUUCCGAGCUCGGCAUCAUCGUCGCCGCUCUCUGGCCGGCACACGGAGGAGCACUUCGGGCGGAACGGUCGCCUCAUGUAUUUCCGCCUCGACCGCUCCAUGUUCCUGAUCUGGAACUCGUGCUUCUGUUUUCGAGCUGCCAUGGCCAUGGUCGUGUCCUGCAGCGCCGGGAAGCCGGCUCUUCUGCAGGAGUCACCUGUCGUCUGCAGGCGACCGCUUUUACGCCACGAUGGCAUCCGAGCCUAGUUGGCCUGUAG